UGGGGAAUAUUGGACAAUGGGCGCAAGCCUGAUCCAGCAAUGCCGCGUGAGUGAUGAAGGCCUUAGGGUUGUAAAGCUCUUUCGCACGCGACGAUGAUGACGGUAGCGUGAGAAGAAGCCCCGGCUAACUUCGUGCCAGCAGCCGCGGUAAUACGAAGGGGGCUAGCGUUGUUCGGAAUUACUGGGCGUAAAGGGCGCGUAGGCGGCCUGUUUAGUCAGAAGUGAAAGCCCCGGGCUCAACCUGGGAAUAGCUUUUGAUACUGGCAGGCUUGAGUUCCGGAGAGGAUGGUGGAAUUCCCAGUGUAGAGUGAAUUCGUAGAUAUUGGGAAGAACACCGGUGGCGAAGGCGGCCAUCUGGACGGACACUGACGCUGAGGCGCGAAAAGCGUGGGGAGCAAACA
Molecule: ribosomal RNA, 401 nt
Filed under: uncultured bacterium
Lineage: Bacteria
Description: partial 16S ribosomal RNA
Rfam family: Bacterial small subunit ribosomal RNA
Source: RNAcentral